AUUGAACGCUGGCGGCAGGCCUAACACAUGCAAGUCGAGCGAGCGGCGGACGGGUGAGUAAUGCCUGGGAAAUUGCCCAGUCGAGGGGGAUAACUACUGGAAACGGUAGCUAAUACCGCAUACCAUCAGAUGUGCCCAGAUGGGAUUAGCUUGUUGGUGGGGUAACGGCUCACCAAGGCGACGAUCCCUAGCUGGUCUGAGAGGAUGACCAGCCACACUGGAACUGAGACACGGGCCAGACUCCGACGUGAGGCAGCAGUGGGGAAUAUUGCACAAUGGGCGCAAUCCUGAUGCAGCCAUGCCGCGUGUAGGAAGAAGGCCUUCGGGUUGUAAAGUACUUUCAGCGGGGAGGCGUUACCCGCAGAAGAAGCACCGGCUAACUCCGUGCCAGCAGCCGCGGUAAUUC
This 406-nucleotide ribosomal RNA is filed under the name uncultured bacterium. Its description in RNAcentral is "partial 16S ribosomal RNA". It matches the Rfam family "Bacterial small subunit ribosomal RNA", at positions 30 to 526 of the family's 1533-position model. The record is from RNAcentral.